CUGUUUGUAGUCAUAUGCUUGUCUCAAAGAUUAAGCCAUGCAUGUCUAAGUAUAAGCAAUUAUACAGCGAAACUGCGAAUGGCUCAUUAUAUAAGUUAUCGUUUAUUUGAUAGUACCUUACUACUUGGAUAACCGUGGUAAUUCUAGAGCUAAUACAUGCUAAAAAUCCCGACUUCGGAAGGGAUGUAUUUAUUAGAUUAAAAACCAAUGCCCUCCGGGGCUCACUGGUGAUUCAUGAUAACUUCUCGAACCGCAUGGCCUUGCGCCGGCGAUGGUUCAUUCAAAUUUCUUCCCUAUCAACUUUCGAUGUUUGGGUAUUGGCCAAACAUGGUUGCAACGGGUAACGGGGAAUGGGGCGGGGGCGGCGGGCCGGGCGCGGGGCGCGGCGGGCGA
Molecule: ribosomal RNA, 393 nt
Filed under: uncultured Myrothecium
Lineage: Eukaryota; Fungi; Ascomycota; Sordariomycetes; Hypocreales
Description: bacterial SSU rRNA
Rfam family: Eukaryotic small subunit ribosomal RNA
Source: RNAcentral